Molecule: long non-coding RNA, 2628 nt
Organism: Cyprinus carpio (common carp)
Lineage: Eukaryota; Metazoa; Chordata; Actinopteri; Cypriniformes; Cyprinidae
Source: Ensembl
GCUUUUGUUAAAGUUGGUGCCACUGUUGAGGAUAUUAGAAAGGUGGUUGUGGAAGCCAAAACUGUUGUUGCAUCAGUUGUUGUGGUGUCAGACAGAGUUGUUGUUAAUGCAUCAGUUGUUGUUGAUACUGGCGCUACAGUUGAGGACGUUGUAGGAGUGAUUGUGGAAGCCAAAGUUGUUGUUGCAUCUAUCAUUGUUGUGGUAUCAGGAAUACUUGUGGUUGCUGCAUCAGAUGUUGUUGCCGUUGGUUCUACCGUUGAGGAUGUUGAAAAGGUGGUUGUGGAAGUCAAAGAUGUUGAUGUAUCAAUUGUUGUUGUGGUGUCAGACAUAGUUGUUGUUGAUGCAUCAGUUGUUGUUGAUUCUUGCGCUACAGUUGAGGAUGAUGUAGGAGUGAUUGUGGAAGCCAAAGUUGUUGUUGCAUCUAUCAUUGUUGUGGUAUCAGGAAUACUUGUGGUUGCUGCAUCAGAUGUUGUUGACGUUGGUUCAACCGUUGAGGAGGUUAGAAAGGUUGUUGUGGAAGCCAAAGAUGUUGUUGUAUCAAUUGUUGUUGUGGUUUUAGGCAUAGUUGUGGUUGCUGCAUCAGAUGUUGGUGACGAUGGUUCAACCGUUGAGGAUGUUGAAAAGGUGGUUGUGGAAGCCAAAGAUUUUGUUGUAUCAAUUGUUGUUGUGGUGUCAGGCAUAGUUGUGGUUGCUGCAUCAGAUGUUGAUGCUGGUGCUAUAGUGCUCGAUGUCAGAGUUGUGGUUGUGGAAGCCAAAAUUGUUGUUGCAUUAGUUGUUGUUUUGGUGUCAGACAGAGUUGUUGUUGAUGCAUCAGUUGUUGUUGAUACUGGCGCUACAGUUGAGAAUGUUGUAGGAGUGAAAGUGGAAGCCAAAGUUUUUGUUGCAUCUAUCAUUGUUGUGGUAUCAGGAAUACUUGUGGUUGCUGCAUCAGAUGUUGUUGACAUUAGUUCAACCGUUGAGGAUGUUAGAAAAGUGGUUGUGGAAGCCAAAGAUGUUGUUGUAUCAAUUGUUGUUGUGGUGUCAGGCAUAGUUGUGGUUGCUGCAUCAGAUGUUGAUGCUGGUGCUAUAGUGCUCGAUGUCAGAGGUGUGGUUGUGGAAGCCAAAAUUUUUGUUGCAUCAGUUGUUGUUGUGGUGUCAGACAGAGUUGUUGUUGAUGCAUCAGUUGUUGUUGAUACUGGCGCUACAUUUAAGGAUGUUGUAGGAGUGAUUGUGGAAGCCAAAGUUGUUGUUGCAGCUAUCACUGUUGUGGUAUCAGGUAUACUUGUGCUUGCUGCAUCAGAUGUUGUUGACGUUGGUUCAGCCAUUGAGGAUGUUGGAAAGGUGGUUGCCAAAGAUGUUGUUAUAUCAAUUGUUGUUGUGGUGUCAGGCAUAGUUGUGGUUGCUGCAUCAGAUUUUUUUGACGUUGGUUCAACCGUUGAGGAUGUUGAAAAGGUGGUUGUGGAAGCCAAAGAUGUUGUUGUAUCAAUUGCUGUUGUAUCAAUUGUUGUUGUGGUGUCAGACAUAGUUGUUUUUGAUGCAUCAGUUGUUGUUGAUAUUGGCACUACAGUUGAGGAUGUUGUAGGAAUGAUUGUGGAAGCCAAAGUUGUUGUUGCAUCUAUCAUUGUUGUGGUGUCAGGAAUACUUGUGGUUGCUGCAUCAGAUGUUGUUGACGAUGGUUCAACCGUUGAGGAUGUUGAAAAGGUGGUUGUGGAAGCCAAAGAUAUUAUUGUAUCAACUGUUGUUGUAUCAAUUGUUGUUGUGGUGUCAGACAUAGUUGUUGUUGAUGCAUGAAUUGUUGUUGAUACUGGCGCUACAGUUGAGGAUGUUGUAGGAAUGAUUGUGGAAGCCAAAGUUGUUGUUGCAUCUAUCAUUGUUGUGGUAUCAGGAAUACUUGUGGUUGCUGCAUUAGAUGAUGUUGACGUUGGUUUAACCAUUGAGGAUGUUGAAAAGGUGGUUGUGGAAGCCAAAGAUGUUAUUGUAUCAAUUGUUGUUGUAUCAAUUGUUGUUGUGGUGUCAGACAUAGUUGUUGUUGAUGCAUGAGUUGUUGUUGAAACUGGCACUACAGUUGAGGAUGUUGCAGGAAUGAUUGUGGAAGCCAAAGUUGUUGUUGCAUCUAUCAUUGUUGUGGUGUCAGGAAUACUUGUGGUUGCUGCAUCAGAUGUUCUUGACGUUGUUUUAACCAUUGAGGAUGUUGGAAAGGUGGUUGCCAAAGAUGUUGUUGUAUCAAUUGUUGUUUUGGUGUCAGGCAUAGUUGUGGUUGCUGCAUCAGAUAUUGAUGCUGGUGCCAUAGUGGUCGAUGUCAGAGGUGUGGUUGUGGAAGAGAAAAUUGUUGUUGCAUCAGUUGUUGUUGUGGUGUCAGCCAGAGUUGCUGUUGAUGCAUCGGUUGUUGUAGCAAAAGUUGUAGUUGCAUCAAUAGUUGUUGUGGAGUCAGCUGUAGUUGUGGUUGCUCCCUCUAUUUUUGACACUAUAGUUGAGGAUUUUGGAGGGGUGGUUGUGGAAGCCAAACUUGUUGCAUCAGUAGUUAUUGUGGCGUCAGACAGCGUUGUGGUUGAUGCAUCAGUUAUUGAUGCUGGUUCUAUAGUUGAGGAUGUUGGGGGGGGGGUUGUGUAAGCCAGCUUUGUUGUUGAAUAAAUAGUUGUUAUGGUGUCA